This 70-nucleotide transfer RNA is filed under the name Stegodyphus mimosarum. It matches the Rfam family "tRNA". Rfam says of the family: Transfer RNA (tRNA) molecules are approximately 80 nucleotides in length. The record is from Rfam by way of RNAcentral. Lineage: Eukaryota; Metazoa; Arthropoda; Arachnida; Araneae; Eresidae.
GCCUUCGUGGUGUAACGUUAGCACAUUUUGCGCUAUUCCAGAGGCCCAGGUUCGAAUCCCGGCGACGGCG